Molecule: long non-coding RNA, 748 nt
Filed under: Zea mays
Lineage: Eukaryota; Viridiplantae; Streptophyta; Magnoliopsida; Poales; Poaceae
Description: long non-coding RNA (ZMAY_LNC003451)
Source: RNAcentral
UGGAUCAGAAAAUCGCUACCGAUCUCGCGGAUUCGUGUCAGCUGUGGAAACGGUAAGCUGAUAAAUUAUUCAGAAUAGUUCGAUCGGUGAAUAAAUUAAUGUGCUAGUGCGAUGCUCAUUUAGGUACUCAAUAAAUUGCGCAAGUCAAGCAACUCUCGUCUGACUUCGCAGUUCUUGUGAUUAUUGAGCCAGGUUCAGUUAUAGCGAGUUAUUUCGCUAUUCCGGUCAAUUAGUUGAAUUAGUGUCCCAAGUAGAAUUUUAGUAGACAUGUGUGCUAAUGAAAUAUUUUAAUCACUUAUAAAGAUGUAGUAUAAUUUAUAAAGUAAGGGAUAAGUUUAGAAUUUAAUUAAUUAAUUGAUAAGUUGUGAUUAGGCUAAUUGUAUUUCAUGUGUAUAGUUUGUUGUUCGUGAUGUUUGCGUUAGGUUCGAGAAGCGUAAUUAUUACGGGUAGUCGUAUAUUAAUAACUAGUGUUUUUGGUAUAAAAUUGUACAACGCCUCGCCGCUAGGUGUUUAAUUCGCUAUCGCGUAGUAAUAUUUAGGUUUGAAAUAUUCCGGUCUAUAUGCAUUCAUGUGCAUAAUGCAUUUCAUUCAGGUACGUGAAUUAACCACGCGAUGCGGAGAACCAGAACUGAGUCGACCAUAAGAUGGUGCUGAUGAACGGAACUGGAGAUGGACAGACGAAGCAAGUAUCGGGACAAAGGAUGAUCGUCAAGUGAUCGACGCCUAACAAACACUAACGUAGUGUUUA